This 676-nucleotide long non-coding RNA is filed under the name Carica papaya (papaya). Its description in RNAcentral is "long non-coding RNA (CPAP_LNC003421)". The record is from RNAcentral. Lineage: Eukaryota; Viridiplantae; Streptophyta; Magnoliopsida; Brassicales; Caricaceae.
UCGACACAAAAUUAUUCCAACAUAUAUCUACUAAAGGUGGAGGGAAUCCCCAACUACCACUGUGAAUGACAAUCAGUUCCAUUUCCAUAUUGGAUAUAAUCUAAUAACCACGGUCGUACUUCGUCACUAUGGCCUUACAUAUAACAUUGCGAAUCCACUCUCAUCAGAGAUAUGCCAAUCUCAUUCACAAGAAGUUGUUCACUAACAUUUUAAGAUGUAGAGUAGAAAGAGAUAAAAGUCUCGAAGAGAUACUAAUCAAACGGAUUUUUAUUCUUUCCUCUUUAUUAUUUUGUUUUCAUUCAUAACGGUCACACAUUUAGAACUCAGUGGGGGUCUAAUACCAUAUCCAGCCCAAGGCCCCCUAGAAUGACCCUCUUUACCAUUAGCAAAGGUAAAGUAAAGGACCAAACCCAUAUGUACUUGAUGCGGGAAGGUAUGUGGAGGAUCGAAUAAACUCUUAUAACCCACUCAAUGAAUGCAAUACUAAAACUUAAUCGUCUAGAAAAUAUCUCCCUCUAAUUGAAUCUGCAAUCCUAAAAGGAAUGUAAAAACAAAGAAUAAGGAAUAAAAAUAAGGAAAGAAAAAAAGUCAUGAUCCCUAUUCUUUGGCUCAACAAGACUUCUGAAAAAUCUUGCUUCUUGAAGAACUUGAAGAAGUUAGAUAUGCAAAAAUGCUA